AGAAUACCUCUCUUUUCCACUUUGACUGCCGCGCUAUCGACUGUUGUGCGACGCCGUCGCCCGGAGGCUGAUUGGAUAUCAGCGUGCUGUCAGCUUCACAAGCGCGGCCAUCCGAGCGGAACACGCAUUUCCAAUUGGCUGCGUUAUCGCGCUAACGCACCUGGCACGCUAGCCCCGCUAGCCUCGGCGUUGCUUUUUUUGGGCAAGUGACAUGUUUUCCUCUAAACACAUUUGAUCAACGGUAACACUAGCGGAUUGACGCGCUAUGGUGACGGCCGUGAAGUUGCUGAUGGUGGCCGCUGCGCUCCAGGGUGGAAGCAGCUGUGUGAAUGUGUGUGUGUGUGUUUUGUUUUGCUGGUCUGCACAUGAGCGGUCACAAUCGGAGAUGGAUGCCUCGCCUCUUCUCGCGUCACAUCUGCUCGCCGCGCUCUGAGGCCAGGGUCGAUUCACGUCGAAGAGCGUCGGCGCACGCCGAGGGCGCCACCUUUGAGCUGGGACACAACGAGAGAGGCUGGUCAUACGAGCGAGGCAUUUUAGGGGAUGGAAAGCCAGCGAUAAUGAAAGGCAUAAAGAGGGGUUAAGAGGCUCGGAUAAUGAGAGGGAAUCGGCGAGGAUCAGAGCGAGCGGGGG
Long non-coding RNA from Hippocampus zosterae (dwarf seahorse), 630 nucleotides. RefSeq lists it as uncharacterized. NCBI's taxonomy places the organism in Eukaryota, Metazoa, Chordata, Actinopteri, Syngnathiformes, Syngnathidae. The transcript is spliced from 2 exons. The record is from RefSeq and is a predicted model, not a curated record.